This is a non-coding RNA of Pelodiscus sinensis (Chinese soft-shelled turtle), 2111 nucleotides long. NCBI's taxonomy places the organism in Eukaryota, Metazoa, Chordata, Testudines, Trionychidae. The record is from RefSeq and is a predicted model, not a curated record.
UGCUGUCGCCCUAUAAAGCCCAGAGCCGGAGCUCUCCACCCCGCCUGCCUGCAGGUAGCGAGGCAGCAGCGGUAGCAGCAGCGGACGGGCCAUGGGGACGGCGCUGGCAGCGCGGAUGGGGCUCCUGCUUCUGGCGCUUCUCUUCCCCCUGCAGACUUACUGCACCCAAAAUGGAACAACCCCAGCAUUCUCCAGAAAUAAUUCUACAGCAAGUUCCACUUUUAUGCCAGCUGUCACAAAUUCACCGAACAAUACCACCAUGCAGGGAAAUGGAAAUUCCCUGCAUUCAACCACAGCUCUUGUCUUCCUUCUCUCAAUUUCUCUUCUACAUUUUUGCUGUUAAGCAUCUCUGGCUGGGAAACAGCUACCAUUCCCCACCCAAAAAUUGAACCUUUUGAGCUGGCGACAUCUGCAAACCCAGCAUGAAAUGAACCAGACAAAACUUCUGCAUCAAAGCACCUUGAUUUCAUUCCAUAGUUUAAUUGGUACCAGUCUGAUCUAGAGAAUCUCUGUCUUCGAUGUUCCAAAGCUGAAUGAUGUGAAAAGGAUUUGAUCAACUGCAACCAGAAAGUAAAUGAAAGGAUUCUAGCGCAAAGCCAGCAAGAAUUUGAAAAGCAAGAUGAAAGCAUAACGAAAUGAUGUUCAGAAUUUCUGAUUUCAAGAUGAGAAGAUGUAAAACGCAACAGUAAACAAAGGGUAAAGACUUCCCUUUAGGGGGUGGGAUUAAAAAAAGGGUAGAUGGUAAUUCUAAUGGUGCAAAAUAAGGAGUUGAGGGGGUUUAUUUUUCACUUAAAUUAAUUGACGUCUAUAAGCUCAUAAAACCCCCCUAAAAUAUACAAAAAACUUAUGAGUCUCUCUGACUCUACAAUUAUUGAAAUGAAUCCAAUAGAAACAAAACAGUAACACUAAAAUGGGUUUCUUCUAGUUUCCUCUUUGCCUGGUAUUACCCUGAGGAUAAAAUAGGACACUAAACUUUUACAUGAAAUUCUUUCUGUGAAUAUUCAACCAUUGAAUAUCUGGGGCAGUUUAAAAUAUUUAGGAAUCAUUGUUUAUCAGAAGAGCUGGAUCUGACACUUUAUUUAAAUAUUUGUGUAUUAAACCAUAUGUGCCAGAGGAAGGAAGUACUGGAAACUCAGAAGAAGCCCAGGAGCAUUUUAUAAAUGUGGUUUAUACAAAAUAAUGUCAAGGGAGAAACAUCUCUCCCACCCUGCUCCUCAAAUUCAAUGAUUUCCAGUUUGUUUGGCUCCUGAUCCCUCCUUAAUUGUGAAGUGUUUGUGGAAUCUCUUGAGUAAUUCUCAAAUACUGUGUGGGGUUGGUUGGUGGUUUUUUGUUGUUGUUUUUUUGUUCUGGCACAAUUUGAAGAACUUUCACUGUUUUGAAGAUUUUCAAUAGUGACGUUUUACUUUAAAGAUUAGUUAAUUUCGGUUUGGGGGAAAGCACUGAAAGCCAAAAAUCAGAAAUGAAAUGAUUGGAAGUUGGUAAAGUUAAAUCAAGUUUAAAAAAAUAGUUUUUUGUAUUACAUCUGUAAAUACUUUUUUUUUAAGUAUGAAUCAACAAUGCUACACUUGCACAGAUGUUUCUCUAGCAUCAAACAUUUUAAGUACAUGGUACUCCAUGCAAAACUGGCUCUAGUGAGGCAAGUUCAACUAUCUUGAUGCUAAAAUCUUUUUUUUUUUUUUUUUAAUUUGAACAAGUAAUGGCCAUUGUUGUUGAUAUGCUCAGAUAUGAAUAUUUAGAUUGCCCAAUACAAAUUCAUGUCAAAUCACUAAAUUGUUCGUUAUUUCAAAAAAAAUCCACUAUCUGAUUUGUCAAUGAUUUUAAUAUCGAUGAAGACAGUAAAAUAUUAAGGAUGCAGUAUCAUAAAUUAUUGCUUUUUGGGUUGGGUAUGUAUGAACACUUCCUUUGUUUUUGUAAGCGGUUAAUGUUUAUAUAAUUAUGCUUUGAUUCAUUAGCUAUUGAUUUUCAGUGGACAUAAACUGUAAAUAAAGAAAUAAAAUGCUAACUGCCCUCCCAUACCAUCCUUCUCCAGAAUCUUGUAACUCACCUGCACAGUAUAAAUAAAUUGUUCAAGUAAUACAGUAUUUGUGAUUAAAACUGGCAAGAUCUAGAAA